AGUUUGUGAACUUAGUCACAUGAUGGGAUUAUUAAUUUGUUGCUUUCAACUGAAAGAUUAAAGUUCUUUACUAUUUUUAAAAUUGGGGUAAUCCAAUAACAUGCCUUGUUAACUCUUCCAAAAUAUUAAACUUCCUUUCUCAAAAUAGAAUUGACAUUUUCAAUAAUUUCUUGUAUCAUGGUUUUGGGUCUUUGUAGAUGAAUCAGAGUUAUAGGGACUAUGGAUUGAAAAACAUAUGGAGAGCCCAACAACAACACAACUAAGCUU
Molecule: unclassified non-coding RNA, 267 nt
Filed under: Hevea brasiliensis (rubber tree)
Lineage: Eukaryota; Viridiplantae; Streptophyta; Magnoliopsida; Malpighiales; Euphorbiaceae
Source: RNAcentral